Small nucleolar RNA from Carya illinoinensis, 108 nucleotides. The record is from RefSeq and is a predicted model, not a curated record. Lineage: Eukaryota; Viridiplantae; Streptophyta; Magnoliopsida; Fagales; Juglandaceae.
UACCCAAGGUGAGGACACUUUUUCAACAACUCAUUAAAUCUCUCCCAAGCCUAAUACAAAGUUUUACUAUCAUUUUGUGCAAAUGUGGAGAUCUACCUCUUCAAAGCA